UGGGGAAUAUUGCACAAUGGGCGCAAGCCUGAUGCAGCCAUGCCGCGUGUAUGAAGAAGGCCUUCGGGUUGUAAAGUACUUUCAGCGGGGAGGAAGGGAGUAAAGUUAAUACCUUUGCUCAUUGACGUUACCCGCAGAAGAAGCACCGGCUAACUCCGUGCCAGCAGCCGCGGUAAUACGGAGGGUGCAAGCGUUAAUCGGAAUUACUGGGCGUAAAGCGCACGCAGGCGGUUUGUUAAGUCAGAUGGGAAAUCCCCGGGCUCAACCUGGGAACUGCAUCUGAUACUGGCAAGCUUGAGUCUCGUAGAGGGGGGUAGAAUUCCAGGUGUAGCGGUGAAAUGCGUAGAGAUCUGGAGGAAUACCGGUGGCGAAGGCGGCCCCCUGGACGAAGACUGACGCUCAGGUGCGAAAGCGUGGGGAGCAAACA
This 427-nucleotide ribosomal RNA is filed under the name uncultured bacterium. RNAcentral describes it as "partial 16S ribosomal RNA". It matches the Rfam family "Bacterial small subunit ribosomal RNA", at positions 355 to 774 of the family's 1533-position model. The record is from RNAcentral.